CUCCGAUGAUGAUCCAGCCAUGCUAAUACUGAUACGCCAGGCAGAUGCCUGGGUGUAAGUGAGUGAUACUCACCUUUGCACACUGAUUGUAUCCGUGUGUGCUGAGGAGA
Cottoperca gobio is the source of this 110-nucleotide small nucleolar RNA. The record is from Ensembl. Lineage: Eukaryota; Metazoa; Chordata; Actinopteri; Perciformes; Bovichtidae.